AGAGAAAGGAAAGAGAAAAUAGAUGGGGAGAAAGAAAAGAGGGAAAAAGUUGGUGGGCUAUUGAUGAAUGUGGAAAAAUAUUUUAAGGCAUUGAUUCGUAGAUGAUGCGGCCGGUCAUAUUUAAGGUGUGGAGCUGGAUUAGUGAAAAUUGAAUCGAAUCAUAUAAGGAUUAAUUUGGAGAGGUGUUGGAAGAGUUGAUAAUUUUGGAGCAUCUAGAAGAUUAUUUAGAAGGCGGUUUAAGUUUAUUUUGAUGAUGUGAUUUAUUUAUGGAGAAAAUAGGGGCCAAGAAGUGUUUAAAAUACAGUGUAUUUUGGAGUUUA
This is a long non-coding RNA of Rhododendron vialii, 320 nucleotides long. RefSeq lists it as uncharacterized. The record is from RefSeq and is a predicted model, not a curated record. The transcript is spliced from 2 exons. NCBI's taxonomy places the organism in Eukaryota, Viridiplantae, Streptophyta, Magnoliopsida, Ericales, Ericaceae.